RNAcentral lists this transfer RNA (66 nucleotides) under Paratrichobius longicrus. RNAcentral's name for it is "tRNA-Tyr". Lineage: Eukaryota; Metazoa; Arthropoda; Insecta; Diptera; Streblidae. The record is from RNAcentral.
GAUUAAAUGACUGAUAAUAGGUAGUAAACUGUAAAUUUAUUUAUAAGAUGAGAAUCUUUUUAAUCA